GUUCUUUAAAUGAGGACUUGUAUCAACGGCAUCACGAGGGUUAAACUGUCUCCUUUUUCAUAUCAGUGAAACUAAUCUCCCCGUGAAGAAGCGGGGAUAAAUUUAUAAGACGAGAAGACCCCAUGGAGCUUUAAACUCAACUACACUCUUUUUAACUUUUCUUUCAAGCCUUUAAGACCCUGUAUGUUCUGUUUUAGGUUGGGGUGACCGCGGAGCAUAAACUAGCCUCCACAAUGAAUAGACUUCUUCUUUAUCCUAGACUUACACCUCUAAGAAUUAGUAUUCUAACAUAAAAUGAUCCGAUAUUCGAUCAACGAACCAAGUUACCCUGGGGAUAACAGCGCAAUCUACUUCAAGAGCUCCUAUCGACAAGUGGGUUUACGACCUCGAUGUUGGAUCAGGGUAUCCUAGUGGUGCAGCAGCUACUAAAGGUUCGUUUGUUCAACGAUUAAAACCCU
RNAcentral lists this ribosomal RNA (458 nucleotides) under Guibemantis ambakoana. RNAcentral's name for it is "partial 16S ribosomal RNA". It matches the Rfam family "Bacterial large subunit ribosomal RNA", at positions 1971 to 2597 of the family's 2925-position model. Lineage: Eukaryota; Metazoa; Chordata; Amphibia; Anura; Mantellidae. The record is from RNAcentral.